This 619-nucleotide small RNA is filed under the name Theobroma cacao (cacao). RNAcentral's name for it is "sRNA Tc06v2_g000720". The record is from RNAcentral. Lineage: Eukaryota; Viridiplantae; Streptophyta; Magnoliopsida; Malvales; Malvaceae.
CAACUCAAGUGCUUUCAACAUCAUUAACUGAGCAAAGUUCACAGAAAACCAAUCAUGAAGAACCUGUUCUUUUCCAUGCUCCUUCUUCUCUCAUUCCUCUUCUUCCUUGCCAACCAUGGGGAGGCAGCUGUUCCAUGUAAUACUGUGGAUGCCAAGGCAGCUCAAUGCGUUGGCUUUGCAACUGGCAAGGCUACAAAGCCCUCCGCUGAAUGCUGCACCGGGCUGCAGCAGCUUGCUCAAACUGUAAAAUCCGUCGAUGAUAAGAAGGCCAUCUGCAGAUACUUGAAGGCUGCCGCCAAGUCACUGGGAGUUCAGGACAAGUUCUUGAGCAAUAUUCCUUAAGCUUGCAACAUCAACGUUGGUUUCCCUGUCUCCAUCAACACCAAUUGCGAGACGAUUCACUAAGUUCCGAUGGAUCAGUCGGGAGAAUGAUCGUUGAAGAACACCCUUAGGCAGUUGGUAGCUAGCUAGAAUUUGACUAUCGGCUCAAAUAAAAUGGUUAAAAUUGUUAAGACAAAGUUACUGUUGGUCUUUACAGACCCAGACUUUGACUUAAAACCGUGUAUUCACAAGUUGGUUACUUGGUUUUAGUGGAAUCAGAAUCAGUUCACUUCUUGCA